This is a long non-coding RNA of Zingiber officinale, 472 nucleotides long. RefSeq lists it as uncharacterized. The record is from RefSeq and is a predicted model, not a curated record. The transcript is spliced from 2 exons. NCBI's taxonomy places the organism in Eukaryota, Viridiplantae, Streptophyta, Magnoliopsida, Zingiberales, Zingiberaceae.
CUCUCCUCCAUCGUCAGAAGGUAGCCCUCGGUCCUCCCCUUCGUCGCGCAACCAACUCACCGCCACGGACUCGCGAACUCCGGCUCCUGCAGCCUGCGACCACCACCACCGCCUCCCUUCCCUGAGUUAGAUCCAGGUAGAAGUGAUGGAGGCUAUCUUUUGCUACCGAUGAUGCGGUUGUGGAGCUAGAGCAGUCGCUCAAAGUCGGUAGACAGGUUAUUUCCGAGAAGCCUGAUUUAGAAGGUGUUGAGCCAUUGAAAAACAUCUCAGUUAUAAUCUUUAGUUGCCUUUUAUCCAUAGACGUUUAAAGUUGAAACACUUUUUAGCUCUUUUUAGUUGUCUCUCAUCAAAAUCCUGUUUUAUUCUUAGUUUCGACGAGCUUGAGAGCGAAUAUAUUUGAUGUACAGAUGUCGGGAUGAACCACAAAAUCCCAAAUGUAUACAUACAUUCACAAACUGAAUGCUUAGAUGAA